AACUAUUUGAAAGAAAACUUUUAAAUUGAUUUGAAUUAUAUAUCUUUUAAAUCAACGUAUUAUUAAACAAAAUAACAAAAUAAUGUUUAAUUUCACUGAACAGAGUUAGAUGGUAGGACGGGUUUAGUCGAUAGUAAUACGAGACGAUAUAUUACGGGUAAAGUACAUUAAAUAUAUUUAAUUUCACUGAACAUGAUUAGAUAGUAUGACAGUUUUGGGUCGAUAAUAAUACGAGACGGUAUACUACGGGUGAAAUCCUAGAUAUAACAGUCAAAAUACAAUUAUAUUAUCUUAAACACUAAGCAAAACAAAUAAUAUUAAUAAAACAAAUAUAAUUUAA
RNAcentral lists this small RNA (340 nucleotides) under Arabidopsis thaliana (thale cress). RNAcentral's name for it is "ATSL167170". Lineage: Eukaryota; Viridiplantae; Streptophyta; Magnoliopsida; Brassicales; Brassicaceae. The record is from RNAcentral.